Molecule: small RNA, 2265 nt
Filed under: Pongo abelii (Sumatran orangutan)
Lineage: Eukaryota; Metazoa; Chordata; Mammalia; Primates; Hominidae
Description: retained intron
Rfam family: Small nucleolar RNA SNORD14 (bases 1126-1212)
Source: RNAcentral
ACGCCAGAAACCAGUGGAUCCUGACAAUUACACAGUGAUUUACAUUUUGAGGGGGUGCUCCAGCUGUUCUUUCACCAGCAUUUAAUCCAUUUGUUGGAGUUUGCAUAUAUAAGUAUACUAGUUAUCAAUCUGCGGUCUUUUCUUUUUUCCUAGACUGUUACCAAUGCUGUGGUCACAGUGCCAGCUUACUUUAAUGACUCUCAGCGUCAGGCUACCAAAGAUGCUGGAACUAUUGCUGGUCUCAAUGUACUUAGAAUUAUUAAUGAGCCAACUGCUGCUGCUAUUGCUUACGGCUUAGACAAAAAGGUUGGAGCAGAAAGAAACGUGCUCAUCUUUGACCUGGGAGGUGGCACUUUUGAUGUGUCAAUCCUCACUAUUGAGGAUGGAAUCUUUGAGGUCAAGUCUACAGCUGGAGACACCCACUUGGGUGGAGAAGAUUUUGACAACCGAAUGGUCAACCAUUUUAUUGCUGAGUUUAAGCGCAAGCAUAAGAAGGACAUCAGUGAGAACAAGAGAGCUGUAAGACGUCUCCGUACUGCUUGUGAACGUGCUAAGCGUACCCUCUCUUCCAGCACCCAGGCCAGUAUUGAGAUCGAUUCUCUCUAUGAAGGAAUCGACUUCUAUACCUCCAUUACCCGUGCCCGAUUUGAAGAAUUGAAUGCUGACCUGUUUCGUGGCACCCUGGACCCAGUAGAGAAAGCCCUUCGAGAUGCCAAAUUGGACAAGUCACAGAUUCAUGAUAUUGUCCUGGUUGGUGGUUCUACUCGUAUCCCCAAGAUUCAGAAGCUUCUCCAAGACUUUUUCAAUGGAAAAGAACUGAAUAAGAGCAUCAACCCUGAUGAAGCUGUUGCUUAUGGUGCAGCUGUCCAGGCAGCCAUCUUGUCUGGAGACAAGUCUGAGAAUGUUCAAGAUUUGCUGCUCUUGGAUGUCACUCCUCUUUCCCUUGGUAUUGAAACUGCUGGUGGAGUCAUGACCGUCCUCAUCAAGCGUAAUACCACCAUUCCUACCAAGCAGACGCAGACCUUCACUACCUAUUCUGACAACCAGCCUGGUGUGCUUAUUCAGGUAUGUUUCUGUACUUUUGUUUGGCUUACUGAAAACAGAUAAAGGGAAGUCUUGACUGACUCGCUAUGAUGAUGGAUUCCAAAACCAUUCGUAGUUUCCACCAGAAAGUCUCAUGUUGGCCAGUUCCUUCCUUGGAUGUCUGAGCGACCAUUCUUCCUUAGCAGGACUCUAGCACUAUGACAGAGACCUGAAGUCCAUUGCAGUAAUUCGUUUUAUUCCCUACCAAGGUUUAUGAAGGCGAGCGUGCCAUGACCAAGGAUAACAACCUGCUUGGCAAGUUUGAACUCACGGGCAUACCUCCUGCACCCCGAGGUGUUCCUCAGAUUGAAGUCACUUUUGACAUUGAUGCCAAUGGUAUCCUCAAUGUCUCUGCUGUGGACAAGAGUACAGGAAAAGAGAAUAAGAUUACUAUCACUAAUGACAAGGGUAAGUAGGCACGAUCAUCUGGUCUUGACAGGGAUCAUAAUGGUAUUUCAGUUGAGUUACUGGUGCCUAAGGGCAUCUAGCUAAGAGAAACUAGAGUUACACAGGUAAUUCUUUUCUAGGCCGUUUGAGCAAGGAAGACAUUGAACGUAUGGUCCAGGAAGCUGAGAAGUACAAAGCUGAAGAUGAGAAGCAGAGGGACAAGGUGUCAUCCAAGAAUUCACUUGAGUCCUAUGCCUUCAACAUGAAAGCAACUGUUGAAGAUGAGAAACUUCAAGGCAAGAUUAACGAUGAGGACAAACAGAAGAUUCUGGACAAGUGUAAUGAAAUUAUCAACUGGCUUGAUAAGAAUCAGACUGCUGAGAAGGAGGAAUUUGAACAUCAACAGAAAGAGCUGGAGAAAGUUUGCAACCCCAUCAUCACCAAGCUGUACCAGAGUGCAGGAGGCAUGCCAGGAGGAAUGCCUGGGGGAUUCCCUGGUGGUGGAGCUCCUCCCUCUGGUGGUGCUUCCUCGGGGCCCACCAUUGAAGAGGUUGAUUAAGCCAACCAAGUGUAGAUGUAGCAUUGUUCCACACAUCUAAAACAUUUGAAGGACCUAAAUUCGUAGGAAAUUCUGUGGCAGUUUUAAAAAGUUAAGCUGCUAUAGUAAGUUACUGGGCAUUUUCAAUACUUGAAUAUGGAACAUAUGCACAGGGGAAGGAAAUAACAUUGCACUUUAUAAACUGUAUUGUAAGUGGAAAAUGCAAUGUCUUAAAUAAAACUAUUUAAAAUUGGCAC